RNAcentral lists this unclassified non-coding RNA (357 nucleotides) under Hevea brasiliensis (rubber tree). Lineage: Eukaryota; Viridiplantae; Streptophyta; Magnoliopsida; Malpighiales; Euphorbiaceae. The record is from RNAcentral.
AGUAUCCAAGCCUGCCCUCUAAAGUCUGAGCUUAUAAAGGCCUCAGGCCAGUUGCAUCAAAUACAAAAUUCCUUUACCAAGCUCCAUCAAGUUGAGUGGGUCCCCAGACAAGUGACCAGGUCUAGUGGGAUUUCAUGUUUGUUGAGUCUACUAAUGGAACAGCAUGAAGUUGUCUUUUGUUUCCAUCAGAAAAUAGCAUAGAGGAUGGCAACUAGAGAUCGGUAUUCGACCAAGAAAUUACAUAUGAUCAAUUUAUGGUGUCAUUAAGUAAACUGGUAAUUGAUAGCUUGAUUAUCACCUAUGAGGUUUAAAUUAGGUCUAUGAGAAAGUAACAAAUUGUAUUAUGAUAGUUCAAGG